Molecule: ribosomal RNA, 274 nt
Filed under: uncultured bacterium
Lineage: Bacteria
Description: partial 16S ribosomal RNA
Rfam family: Bacterial small subunit ribosomal RNA
Source: RNAcentral
AUACGGAGGGUGCAAGCGUUAUCCGGAAUCAUUGGGUUUAAAGGGUUCGUAGGCGGGUCAAUAAGUCAGAGGUGAAAUCUUGCAGCUUAACUGUAAAAUUGCCUUUGAUACUGUUGACCUUGAAUUACUGUGAAGUGGUUAGAAUAUGUAGUGUAGCGGUGAAAUGCUUAGAGAUUACAUAGAAUACCGAUUGCGAAGGCAGAUCACUAACAGUAUAUUGACGCUGAUGAACGAAAGCGUGGGUAGCGAACGGGAUUAGAUACCCUAGUAGUCC